Ornithorhynchus anatinus (platypus) is the source of this 138-nucleotide small nucleolar RNA. The record is from RefSeq and is a predicted model, not a curated record. Lineage: Eukaryota; Metazoa; Chordata; Mammalia; Monotremata; Ornithorhynchidae.
CCCCUCUCGGGAUCACACCUGGAGAGUUUCCGGUACUCUGCCAGCCUUGGGUACGGGAGGGAGAGUCAAGCAGGGGCAUACCCGUUCCAUUCCUAGCUUGGACAGUGGCUAGGGAGUGGAAAGCAAUCUGCUACAGGU